RNAcentral lists this long non-coding RNA (1220 nucleotides) under Ananas comosus (pineapple). RNAcentral's name for it is "long non-coding RNA (ACOM_LNC033972)". The record is from RNAcentral. Lineage: Eukaryota; Viridiplantae; Streptophyta; Magnoliopsida; Poales; Bromeliaceae.
GAAAAAGAUUUUCUGAAAGAAAAAAAGGAGCUCUAUAUAUAUAUAUAUAGAGAGAGAGAGAGUCUAGGUACUAUACUUAUUAUAUUCUUAUGAAUAUAGACCUUCUUGUACUCAUAAAUUUUUAACCGUUAAUUGAUGGGAUGUGUGGUUACGAUGAUGGUGGUUAAUUUCCACUUAGAAUAAUGGUGGUUCCCACUUAGAAUGAUAGUAGUCCUCUAGAGUUGAGCGGGUAGUUGGUUGAAUAGUAUGAUCUAACAGGUGAAAAUAAUCAAUGAAAUAUAUAAAUCUAAAAGCUGAAAACUUAUGAGUAUAAGAGAGCCAAUACUUAUAAAAGUAUAGUAACCGGACUCCUUAUAAGUAUAUGUCUCUUUAUAUUCGUUAGUUUUCGACAGUAAAAUAUAUUCCUUUCAUCAUUUCCACCUAUUAGAUCAUACUAUUUAAUUAACCACUCACUCAACCAUAGAGGAUCACCAUCAUUUUAACUGGAAACCAUUAUUAUCCUAACUACACAUCCCUUUAUCCAUCCACUGAAAACUUAUGAGCACAAAAGAAUCUAUACUCACAAAAGUAUAAUAGUCCUAGCAUAUAUAUAUAUAUAUAUAUAGAGAGAGAGAGAGAGAGAGAGAGAGAGAGAGAGAGAGAGAGAGAGAGAGAGAGAGAGAGAGUUGUGCUGGUAUGCUUAUGGAAGCACGGAGGCUUCCGUGCUUUCAAGUCGUUUUCGAUGUUCGGACUUUCGAAACGACGAUCGGCUCCGUUAGACUUGAUCUAGAGUAUUUGAAGUACCUAGAAAAUAAAUUUUGUGAUUUUUCGAUAUCAUUUGCCUAGUGAUCAAAGGGGCUCAAAAUCAAUAAUUUUAAUGGCCGUGGUGAGCCGUUUGCAAGUUUAACGGUGUAGAAAUAUUCAAAUCACGUGAAAUUUUGAUAGAAAAUUCUUUAUACUAUAUAAAAUAAGAUUAAUAUCUUUGAUCUAAAUUUUUAAUGUCAUAUCAUCACAUUUUGUGAGAUUUUUAUUUUCAGCCGCUGAUUUUGAGCCCCUUCGAUCACUAGGCAAAUGAUAUCGAAAAAUCGCAAAAUUUAUUUUCUAGGUACUUCAAAUACUCUAAAUCAAGUCUAACGGAGCCGAUCGUCAAUUCGAAAGAUCCAACAUCGAAAACAACUUGGAAGCACGGAGUGCUCCGUUCUUCCAUAAGCAUACUAGCCGCACUCUAUAUAUAUAUAUAU